This is a long non-coding RNA of Labrus mixtus (cuckoo wrasse), 665 nucleotides long. RefSeq lists it as uncharacterized. The transcript is spliced from 5 exons. Lineage: Eukaryota; Metazoa; Chordata; Actinopteri; Labriformes; Labridae. The record is from RefSeq and is a predicted model, not a curated record.
AUUAAAUUGACCAAUCACAAUUCGUUGUGUACAAUGGACAGCACACUCAUCCAAUAACAUUUUGGAUUGCCGACACAACGUCCUCUUCACCUAAGGACUGCGUCUUGAUGUGCCUGCGCAGUUCACCUUCAUUUCCCUGUCCUUGCAACCACAUUAUCAAAGGUCAUCAUUGCUCCUUUAUAGUUGGAUAGAGCUUUUUGGCAGUGGGGGGAAGAGCUGAGGUUUGAUCCAUUGGAAAAUGACACAAAGAUAUGACUCACGCUGGAGAAGAAAAGUUAGGAUUCCAGAAAAUACUUGCAAAAGAUACAGAAAAAAGGACACACAAAGAGUGGAGAACUCAGAAUCAACAAACUGGAGGCCAGAUGGUUGCUGCACAGAAGGACUAGAGUGCCAUGCUACUCCUCAAUCUGCUGACUUUGCCCUUGAGGAACAUCCAUCAAUCAGGAAUUUGUGUGACAACAACAACCAAACAUUUUCCCAAUGCUCUCAACACACAAAAGAGACACAUCACACUGGCCUUAAUGAAGAAUCAGAGAGUGAAGAUCCUUUUCACAUAGAUACAUUUGGUCACCCCCUACAUGAGUUUGUUGAGGAGGGAACUUAAGAUCAUAACCAGUCAUCUGAUGAUGACCUGUCCUUUGAUGAAGACUUAUUAUGUGAAGACA